GGUUAAUGAGCUUGAUAAGCCUGUAUUUUGAAAAUACAAGAUAGGAAUGCAUCCUAUUAACCU
Molecule: transfer RNA, 63 nt
Filed under: Trixagus sp. TRI01
Lineage: Eukaryota; Metazoa; Arthropoda; Insecta; Coleoptera; Throscidae
Description: tRNA-Ser
Source: RNAcentral